GACGAACGCUGGCGGCGUGCUUAACACAUGCAAGUCGAACGGAAAGGCCCUGCUUUUGUGGGGUGCUCGAGUGGCGAACGGGUGAGUAACACGUGAGUAACCUGCCCUUGACUUUGGGAUAACUUCAGGAAACUGGGGCUAAUACCGGAUAGGAGCUCCUGCUGCAUGGUGGGGGUUGGAAAGUUUCGGCGGUUGGGGAUGGACUCGCGGCUUAUCAGCUUGUUGGUGGGGUAGUGGCUUACCAAGGCUUUGACGGGUAGCCGGCCUGAGAGGGUGACCGGCCACAUUGGGACUGGGGUACCGCCCAGACUCCUACGGGAGGCAGCAGGGGGGAAUAUUGCACAAUGGGCCGAAGCCUGAUGCAGCAACCCCGCGUGCGGGAUGACGGCCUUCGGGUUGUAAACCGCUUUCGCCUGUGACGAAGCGGGAGUGACGGUAAUGGGUAAAGAAGCACCGGCUAACUACGUG
RNAcentral lists this ribosomal RNA (468 nucleotides) under uncultured bacterium. RNAcentral's name for it is "partial 16S ribosomal RNA". It matches the Rfam family "Bacterial small subunit ribosomal RNA", at positions 28 to 507 of the family's 1533-position model. The record is from RNAcentral.